GGGCCUGUAGCUCAGCUGGGAGAGCGUUCGGUUCGCAUCCGAGAGGUCGACGGUUCGAUCCCGUUCAGGUCCACCA
RNAcentral lists this transfer RNA (76 nucleotides) under Pseudoflavonifractor capillosus. Its description in RNAcentral is "tRNA-Ala". It matches the Rfam family "tRNA". Rfam says of the family: Transfer RNA (tRNA) molecules are approximately 80 nucleotides in length. Their secondary structure includes four short double-helical elements and three loops (D, anti-codon, and T loops). Lineage: Bacteria; Bacillati; Bacillota; Clostridia; Eubacteriales; Oscillospiraceae. The record is from RNAcentral. RNAcentral also lists the same sequence under 23 other names.